This 226-nucleotide long non-coding RNA is filed under the name Brassica napus (rape). Its description in RNAcentral is "long non-coding RNA (BNAP_LNC006654)". Lineage: Eukaryota; Viridiplantae; Streptophyta; Magnoliopsida; Brassicales; Brassicaceae. The record is from RNAcentral.
AAAAACUCGUCAGGGCAUUUUGGUAAUUUGGCUUGGCCUUGGGUUUUAAGUCCACUGGAUCCAAAAUGUCGCGUGUCUGAUGUCUCGACAUCGAUCGAUGGUACUUGUAUACAUCGAUCGAUAUUAAUCUUCAUCUGUCGAGGCAUCUCUUGGUGUCGAUCGAUAGCACUGGAUGCACAUUGAUCGAUUGUUCUUCCUCUCGUCGACCUCUACAUGGUCAGCUCGG